UUUACCUACGGGACGCAGCAGUGGGGAAUAUUGGGCAAUGGACGCAAGUCUGACCCAGCAACGCCGCGUGAAGGAAGAAGGCUUUCGGGUUGUAAACUUCUUUUAAGGGGGAAGAGCAGAAGACGGUACCCCUUGAAUAAGCCACGGCUAUCUACGUGCCAGCAGCCGCGGUAAUACGUAGGUGGCAAGCGUUGUCCGGCUUUACUGGGUGUAAAGGGCGUGCAGCCGGAGAGGCGAGUCAGAUGUGAAAUCCGCGGGCUCAACCCGCGAACUGCAUUUGAA
RNAcentral lists this ribosomal RNA (282 nucleotides) under uncultured bacterium. RNAcentral's name for it is "partial 16S ribosomal RNA". It matches the Rfam family "Bacterial small subunit ribosomal RNA", at positions 334 to 631 of the family's 1533-position model. The record is from RNAcentral.